UACGUAGGUGACCAGCGUUGUCCGGAUUUACUGGGCGUAAAGAGCGCGCAGGCGGUCGUUCAAGUCGAGUGUGAAAGCCCCCGGCUCAACUGGGGAGGGUCACUCGAUACUGAUCGACUUGAAGGCAGGAGAGGGAUGCGGAAUUCCAGGUGUAGCGGUGAAAUGCGUAGAUAUCUGGAGGAACACCGGUGGCGAAGGCGGCAUCCUGGACCGGCAUUGACGCUGAGGAGCGAAAGCCAGGGGAGCAAACGGG
RNAcentral lists this ribosomal RNA (253 nucleotides) under uncultured bacterium. RNAcentral describes it as "partial 16S ribosomal RNA". It matches the Rfam family "Bacterial small subunit ribosomal RNA", at positions 524 to 776 of the family's 1533-position model. The record is from RNAcentral.